This 408-nucleotide ribosomal RNA is filed under the name uncultured bacterium. RNAcentral's name for it is "partial 16S ribosomal RNA". It matches the Rfam family "Bacterial small subunit ribosomal RNA", at positions 28 to 526 of the family's 1533-position model. The record is from RNAcentral.
GACGAACGAUGGCGGCGUGCUUAACACAUGCAAGUCGAACGAAGUGGCGAACGGGUGAGUAACGCGUAAUCAACCUGCCCUUCAGAGGGGGACAACAGUUGGAAACGACUGCUAAUACCGCAUACUGAAGGAGGGGAUUGCGUGGGAUUAGCUAGUUUGCGGGGUAACGGCCCCCCAAGGCGAUGAGCAGGAGCCGUGCUGAGAGGAGGACCGGCCACAUUGGGGCUGAGACACGGCCUAGACUCCUACGGGGUGCAGCAGUGGGGAGUCUUCCGCAAUGGACGAAAGUCUGACGGAGCAACGCCGCGUGAGUGAUGACGGCCUUCGGGUUGUAAAGCUCUGUUAGUCGGGACGCGGUACCGGAAUAGAAAGCCACGGCUAACUACGUGCCAGCCGCCGCGGUAAUUC